Brassica rapa (field mustard) is the source of this 1508-nucleotide RNA transcript. It is a transcript of the gene named mitogen-activated protein kinase kinase 6, with no coding region annotated. The record is from RefSeq and is a predicted model, not a curated record. NCBI's taxonomy places the organism in Eukaryota, Viridiplantae, Streptophyta, Magnoliopsida, Brassicales, Brassicaceae.
GGAACUAUUUCGACCGUCUUUACACUAAUGAGCCGACUUAGGGCCCAUUUAAUAGUCAGCCCAUACAUUCAGUUUCUUUAGUUUUUUAUUAAUUAAUUAAUAUAAUAAUUUUAUCUUCCCGGUCUUACGCGUUCAAAAUUAUGUCCGUUACCACUAAGAAUCGUCGUCGUCUUCUCUUUCUUAAUAGUUUGUUUAGAGCGAUAGUCCCAAGAUCGCCCCAAAAAGGAUGAAGCUCAAAUCGAACUUGAAGCAGCUUAAUAAGCUCUCCGUUCCAGCUCAGCAAACCCCAAUCUCUUCCUUCUUGACUGCAAGUGGAACGUUUCACGAUGGAGAUUUUCUUCUAAACCAGAAGGGGUUAAAGCUGACGUCAGAUGAUAAGCAAUCGAGGCCUUCUGAUAGCAAAGAGCUUGAUUUCGAAAUCACUGCUGAAGACUUAGAGACUGUGAGAGUCAUCGGUAAAGGCAGCGGUGGAGUUGUACAAUUGGUUCGUCACAAAUGGGUUGGCAAGUUAUUUGCUAUGAAGGUCAUACAGAUGAACAUACAAGAAGAAAUUCGUAAGCAAAUUGUCCAGGAGCUCAAAAUAAACCAAGCAUCAUCUCAGUGUCCACAUGUUGUUGUCUGCUACCACUCUUUCUAUCACAAUGGAGCCUUUUCCCUUGUGCUUGAGUAUAUGGACCGUGGCUCUCUUGUUGAUGUCAUAAGACAAGUGAAGACUAUCCUUGAGCCUUACCUUGCUGUCGUCUGUAAACAGGUUUUGCAGGGGCUAGUUUACCUGCACAACGAAAGACAUGUCAUACACAGAGACAUUAAACCAUCAAACCUUCUUGUGAAUCAUAAAGGAGAAGUGAAAAUCUCGGACUUUGGUGUCAGUGCAAGUCUUGCUAGCUCCAUGGGACAGAGGGACACAUUUGUUGGAACCUACAACUAUAUGUCGCCUGAGAGGAUCAGUGGAAGCACAUACGACUACAGCAGCGACAUUUGGAGUUUGGGGAUGUCAGUGUUAGAAUGUGCAAUAGGAAGAUUCCCAUACUUGGAAUCUGAAGACCAGCAAAACCCGCCUAGCUUUUAUGAGCUUUUGGCAGCAAUCGUAGAGAGUCCACCACCAACUGCUCCUUCUGAUCAAUUCUCCCCUGAAUUUUGCUCCUUUGUAUCAGCCUGCUUACAAAAGGAUCCUCCAGCAAGAGCAUCAUCCUUGGACCUGUUGAGUCAUCCAUUCAUAAAGAAGUUUGAGGACAUGGAUAUUGAUCUCGGGAUACUUGUUGGCACUCUGGAACCACCUGUUAACUGCCUUAGAUAAGUAAGCCUUCUUUUUUUCUUCUGCAUUUUGUAUAUGAUAUGGUAAGAUACAUGAUGUGUAAUGUGUCUGAGCGUCGGAAAAGAUUAUUAUUACUUAAUGAACAAAACCGGAUGAGAUUUUAUUAUUCAUUCUUUAAUAUGAAAUAUUCAGGUUUUUGUUGAAUACGUGAUUAAGUAGACGGAGUCAAUUAUAUAACUUAUUUUUUCUCCAA